UCGAGAAUCUUUCGCAAUGGGCGCAAGCCUGACGAAGCGACGCCGUGUGAGCGAAGAAGGCCUUCGGGUUGUAAAGCUCUUUCGCUAGGGAACAAGAAAGUCGGAUGAAUAAUCCGAUAAUUUGAUGGUACUUGGUAAAGAAGCACCGGCUAACUCCGUGCCAGCAGCUGCGGUAAUACGGAGGGUGCAAGCAUUGAUCGGAAUUACUGGGCGUAAAGGGCGCGUAGGCGGUUAGGAAAGUCAGAUGUGAAAUUCCGGGGCUCAACCCCGGAGCUGCAUUUGAAACUUCCAGACUAGAGUUCAGUUAGGGAAAACGGAAUUCCACGUGUAGCGGUGAAAUGCGUAGAUAUGUGGAAGAACACCGGUGGUGAAGACGGUUUUCUGGGCUGAUACUGACGCUGAGGCGCGAAAGCAAGGGGAGCAAACAGGAUUAGAUACCCCUGUAGUCC
Molecule: ribosomal RNA, 449 nt
Filed under: uncultured bacterium
Lineage: Bacteria
Description: bacterial SSU rRNA
Rfam family: Bacterial small subunit ribosomal RNA
Source: RNAcentral